UGAGUAACCUGCCCUGGACUUUGGGAUAACCCUCGGAAACGGGGGCUAAUACCGGAUAUGACGGCUCACCGCAUGGUGUGGUUGUGGAAAGUUUUUUCGGUCUGGGAUGGGCUCGCGGCCUAUCAGCUUGUUGGUGGGGUGAUGGCCUACCAAGGCGACGACGGGUAGCCGGCCUGAGAGGGCGACCGGCCACACUGGGACUGAGAUACGGCCCAGACUCCGUACGGGGAGGCA
RNAcentral lists this ribosomal RNA (234 nucleotides) under uncultured bacterium. Its description in RNAcentral is "partial 16S ribosomal RNA". It matches the Rfam family "Bacterial small subunit ribosomal RNA", at positions 118 to 350 of the family's 1533-position model. The record is from RNAcentral.